RNAcentral lists this ribosomal RNA (517 nucleotides) under Listeria monocytogenes. Its description in RNAcentral is "partial 23S ribosomal RNA". It matches the Rfam family "Bacterial large subunit ribosomal RNA", at positions 683 to 1197 of the family's 2925-position model. The record is from RNAcentral. Lineage: Bacteria; Bacillati; Bacillota; Bacilli; Caryophanales; Listeriaceae.
CUGAAUAGGGCGCAUAAGUAACAGGUCGUAGACCCGAAACCAGGUGAUCUACCCAUGUCCAGGAUGAAGGUAAGGUAAUACUUACUGGAGGUCCGAACCCACGCACGUUGAAAAGUGCGGGGAUGAGGUGUGGGUAGCGGAGAAAUUCCAAUCGAACUUGGAGAUAGCUGGUUCUCUCCGAAAUAGCUUUAGGGCUAGCCUCGAGGUAAAGAGUCAUGGAGGUAGAGCACUGUUUGGACUAGGGGCCCUUCUCGGGUUACCGAAUUCAGAUAAACUCCGAAUGCCAUGUACUUAUACUCGGGAGUCAGACUGCGAGUGAUAAGAUCCGUAGUCGAAAGGGAAACAGCCCAGACCACCAGUUAAGGUCCCCAAAUAUAUGUUAAGUGGAAAAGGAUGUGGGGUUGCUUAGACAACCAGGAUGUUGGCUUAGAAGCAGCCACCAUUGAAAGAGUGCGUAAUAGCUCACUGGUCGAGUGACCCCGCGCCGAAAAUGUACCGGGGCUAAACAUAUUACCGA